ACUCAAAGGAAUUGACGGGGACCCGCACAAGCGGUGGAUGAUGUGGAUUAAUUCGAUGCAACGCGAAAAACCUUACCUACCCUUGACAUGCCAGGAAGGUCUCAGAGAUGAGAUUGUGCCCGAAAGGGAACCUGGACACAGGUGCUGCAUGGCUGUCGUCAGCUCGUGUCGUGAGAUGUUGGGUUAAGUCCCGCAACGAGCGCAACCCUUGUCAUUAAUUGCCAUCAUUUAGUUGGGCACUUUAAUGAGACUGCCGGUGACAAACCGGAGGAAGGUGGGGACGACGUCAAGUCCUCAUGGCCCUUAUGGGUAGGGCUUCACACGUCAUACAAUGGUCAGUUCAGAGGGUUGCCAACCCGCGAGGGGGAGCUAAUCCCACAAAGCUGAUCGUAGUCCGGAUUGCAGUCUGCAACUCGACUGCAUGAAGCAGGAAUCGCUAGUAAUCGCGGAUCAGCAUGUCGCGGUGAAUACGUUCCCGGGUCUUGCACACACCGCCCGU
This 499-nucleotide ribosomal RNA is filed under the name uncultured bacterium. RNAcentral's name for it is "bacterial SSU rRNA". It matches the Rfam family "Bacterial small subunit ribosomal RNA", at positions 899 to 1397 of the family's 1533-position model. The record is from RNAcentral.